AAUGAAGUGCCUGAAUUAAAGGGUUAUUUUGAUAGAAUAAAUCACGUGGUUAACCACCACCCUCAUUA
RNAcentral lists this transfer RNA (68 nucleotides) under Habroloma sp. RNAcentral describes it as "tRNA-Ile". Lineage: Eukaryota; Metazoa; Arthropoda; Insecta; Coleoptera; Buprestidae. The record is from RNAcentral.